UGGCGGCAGGCCUAACACAUGCAAGUCGAGCGGAUGACGGGAGCUUGCUCCUUGAUUCAGCGGCGGACGGGUGAGUAAUGCCUAGGAAUCUGCCUGGUAGUGGGGGACAACGUUUCGAAAGGAACGCUAAUACCGCAUACGUCCUACGGGAGAAAGCAGGGGACCUUCGGGCCUUGCGCUAUCAGAUGAGCCUAGGUCGGAUUAGCUAGUUGGUGGGGUAAUGGCUCACCAAGGCGACGAUCCGUAACUGGUCUGAGAGGAUGAUCAGUCACACUGGAACUGAGACACGGUCCAGACUCCUACGGGAGGCAGCAGUGGGGAAUAUUGGACAAUGGGCGAAAGCCUGAUCCAGCCAUGCCGCGUGUGUGAAGAAGGUCUUCGGAUUGUAAAGCACUUUAAGUUGGGAGGAAGGGCAGUAAGCUAAUACCUUGCUGUUUUGACGUUACCGACAGAAUAAGCACCGGCUAACUCUGUGCCAGCAGCCGCGGUAAUACAGAGGGUGCAAGCGUUAAUCGGAAUUACUGGGCGUAAAGCGCGCGUAGGUGGUUUGUUAAGUUGGAUGUGAAAGCCCCGGGCUCAACCUGGGAACUGCAUCCAAAACUGGCAAGCUAGAGUAC
This 617-nucleotide ribosomal RNA is filed under the name Pseudomonas sp. EP_S_57. Its description in RNAcentral is "bacterial SSU rRNA". It matches the Rfam family "Bacterial small subunit ribosomal RNA", at positions 37 to 649 of the family's 1533-position model. The record is from RNAcentral. Lineage: Bacteria; Pseudomonadati; Pseudomonadota; Gammaproteobacteria; Pseudomonadales; Pseudomonadaceae.